RNAcentral lists this unclassified non-coding RNA (267 nucleotides) under Septoriella hirta. RNAcentral's name for it is "partial internal transcribed spacer region". The stretch from base 1 to 46 matches the Rfam family "Eukaryotic small subunit ribosomal RNA", at positions 1786 to 1831 of the family's 1831-position model. Lineage: Eukaryota; Fungi; Ascomycota; Dothideomycetes; Pleosporales; Phaeosphaeriaceae. The record is from RNAcentral.
AAGUCGUAACAAGGUUUCCGUAGGUGAACCUGCGGAAGGAUCAUUACAAUUCAGUAGCUUGCUACUGGUCGGGAGGCGCUGUAAGUCCGCAUAGUUUAAUUACUGAUGAGCGGCGAGCCCUCUGUCUGUACCCUUGUCUUUUGCGCACUCAUGUUUCCUCGGCGGGCUUGCCCGCCGACUGGACAAACUUAUAACCUUUUUAAUUUUUAAUCAGCGUCUGAAAAAACUUAAUAAUUACAACUUUCAACAACGGAUCUCUUGGUUCUG